GAUGAACGCUGGCGGCGUGCCUAAUACAUGCAAGUCGAGCGAACGGACGAGAAGCUUGCUUUUCUGAUGUUAGCGGCGGACGGGUGAGUAUCACGUGGAUAACCUACCUAUAAGACUGGGAUAACUUCGGGAAACCGGAGCUAAUACCGGAUAAUAUUUUGAACCGCAUGGUUCAAAAGUGAAAGACGGUCUUGCUGUCACUUAUAGAUGGAUCCGCGCUGCAUUAGCUAGUUGGUAAGGUAACGGCUUACCAAGGCAACGAUGCAUAGCCGACCUGAGAGGGUGAUCGGCCACACUGGAACUGAGACACGGUCCAGACUCCUACGGGAGGCAGCAGUAGGGAAUCUUCCGCAAUGGGCGAAAGCCUGACGGAGCAACGCCGCGUGAGUGAUGAAGGUCUUCGGAUCGUAAAACUCUGUUAUUAGGGAAGAACAUAUGUGUAAGUAACUGUGCACAUCUUGACGGUACCUAAUCAGAAAGCCACGGCUAACUACGUG
Molecule: ribosomal RNA, 497 nt
Filed under: uncultured bacterium
Lineage: Bacteria
Description: partial 16S ribosomal RNA
Rfam family: Bacterial small subunit ribosomal RNA
Source: RNAcentral